GGGUCUUUAGCUCAAUGGUAGAGCAAAUGACUGCAGAUCAAUAGGUAACCGGUUCGAGACCAGGUGAGCCCU
Brassica oleracea var. oleracea is the source of this 72-nucleotide transfer RNA. It matches the Rfam family "tRNA". Rfam says of the family: Transfer RNA (tRNA) molecules are approximately 80 nucleotides in length. Their secondary structure includes four short double-helical elements and three loops (D, anti-codon, and T loops). The record is from Rfam. Lineage: Eukaryota; Viridiplantae; Streptophyta; Magnoliopsida; Brassicales; Brassicaceae.